This 332-nucleotide long non-coding RNA is filed under the name Panax ginseng (ginseng). RNAcentral describes it as "long non-coding RNA (PGIN_LNC002346)". The record is from RNAcentral. Lineage: Eukaryota; Viridiplantae; Streptophyta; Magnoliopsida; Apiales; Araliaceae.
ACCUCAUUUGGUGGAGAAUGAGGAACGUAUGACGCGGAUGUUUCUGAGAGGUUUGAAACUCGGCAUACGACAAUAUCUCAUUUCUCAUAAAUUUUCUCUCUAUUCAGAUGUUGUAAACAGGGCUCACUUAUUAGGUCAACCGAGGGACCACAAUCAGGAUCAUACCGGAGAUAGCAGUCAAUAAAAUAACGAUAACCAGCGGAGAAAGAAAAAGACGGAAAAAAAUGGUAACCACUCUGGUGGUAAUCAUGGCCAUGAAAAUAGAAGAAGCGAGUCAGGAGGAGAUUUUAAAAAGAGGAGAUUUAACAACGACCAUGUGAAGACGACAGUGC